This is a ribosomal RNA of Danio rerio (zebrafish), 117 nucleotides long. The record is from Ensembl. Lineage: Eukaryota; Metazoa; Chordata; Actinopteri; Cypriniformes; Danionidae.
UGCCACAGUCAUAUCACCUUGCAGUUCAAGGCCAGUUACUCACCAAAGCUAAUAAGUGCUGAGACUGGUUAGUACCUGGAUGGGAGACCGCAUGGGAAAACUAGUUUACUGUUGGAA